Oncorhynchus tshawytscha (Chinook salmon) is the source of this 624-nucleotide long non-coding RNA. Lineage: Eukaryota; Metazoa; Chordata; Actinopteri; Salmoniformes; Salmonidae. The record is from Ensembl.
UGCCAGGUGAUGCUGCUGAUUGUGCUGUGUUUCAGGCAGGUUGUUCAGGUGUGUGAAGCUGAGAGAGAGUGAGGACGCUGCCAGGUGAUGCUGCUGAUUGUGCUGUGUUUCAGGCAGGUUGUUCAGGUGUGUGAAGCUGAGAGAGAGUGAGGACGCUGCCAGGUGAUGCUGCUGAUUGUGCUGUGUUUCAGGCAGGUUGUUCAGGUGUGUGAAGCUGAGAGAGUGAGGACGCUGCCAGGUGAUGCUGCUGAUUGUGCUGUGUUUCAGGCAGGUUGUUCAGGUGUGUGAAGCUGAGAGAGAGUGAGGACGCUGCCAGGUACUACAGGUGUAUUUAUACUGUCUCUUUCACUUUCACUCUGACUUGGAACAAAGUGAAAGUCUCCACCUUUGUCCUGUAAAUGCAUCUCACCCAAGGCCAUUUAAUUUCUUCUUCUUCUCUCUCUCCCUCCCUCCUUUCUUUCUUUCUUUAUUUCUUUCUCUCAUUUCUUUCUCUGAUGCUUUUUUCCUUCUGUGACUUUCUCUCCAUUUACUGUCAAUCUGUCUCGUCCGCCUCUUUAACAGUGACAGAGCAUUGCACUCCUACAGUAUCUGUUAAAAUAAACCCUUAACCUGUCUAGGACUGGG